CUAAUGUGUGUAUGGUGUGUAACACACUGCUAUGUGUUUGACACACACAGCCCUGUUAGUUUAUAUUAAUGUGUGUAAGGUGUGUAACACACUGCUAUGUGUUUGACACGCACAGCCCUGUUAGUUUUUAUUAAUGUGUGUAAGGUGUUUGUGUCCCUCUCUCUGCAGGCUGUCAGGCUGUAGAGUCACACAGAGAGGCUGUGAUUCUCUGGCUUCAGCUCUGUGUUCAAACCCCUCACACCUGAGAGAGCUGGACCUGAGAUACAAUCACCCAGGAGACUCAGGAGUGAGAGCGCUGUCUGCUGCUAAACUGGACACACUCACACUGCUUGUGGACCAUGGAGGAGAGAACAGGACCAAACCUGGACCCAGGAAAUACGGCUGUCAGCUCACACUGGAUCCAAACACAGCGCACAGAGAGCUGUCUCUGUCUGAGGGGAACAGGAAGGUGACACAGAAAUGGUGGGAAAAGCAGCCAUAUCCUGAUCAUCCAGAGAGAUUUGAGCAGUGUGAGCAGGUUGUGUGCAGAGAGAGUGUGUGUGAGCGCUGUUACUGGGAGGCUGAGUGCAGUAUGUCUGAGUGGGGAGAGGUUUAUAUAGCAGUGACUGAUAAAGGAAUCAGCAGGAAAGGAGGGGGUUCUGACUGUAGGUUUGGAUACAAUAAAAACUCCUGGAGUCUGAGGUGCUCUAAACUCAGUGACUCUGAUAAACUCAGUUUCUCUGUCAGGCACAAUGAGAACCAAACACACAUACCUGCCCUCACCUCCCCCUACCGCAGAGCAGGAAUGUAUUAUGGUGCUGGUACAGGAGUGUGUGUGUACAGGGUAGGAGUGUGUGUGGACCGUCCGGCCGGCACUCUGUCCUUCUACAGCGUCUCUGACUCUGACACACUGACCCUCCUGCACAGAUUCCACACACACUUCACUCAACACUCACCCCUCUGUGCUGGAUUUUAUGUGAGGAACUCCUCCUCAGUGUCCCUCUGCUAACUGGAGUAGAGACACACACACACACACACACACAUAUACACAUUCACACACACACGCACGCACACACAAACAUCCACACACACGCACAUGCACGCACACGCAAACAUGCACGUGCACACACGCAUACACACACACGCGUGCGCUCGCAUGCAUGCACACACACACACACACACACUCACGUACACACACACACACACCACAUUCACGUACCCACACACACACACACACACACCACACACACUCACACAUACACACUCAGAUACACAUAGACACUCACACCCACACCUACACACACACACAUCCACACACACACACAUACUCUCACACACCCUUUCCUCAUCCACAUGCACACACACAUCACAACACCCGCGCACACACACACGCUUUCUCACACCCAAUCACUCACACCCCCAAUCACACACAUACACACACCUACACACGGACACACACAAUCUCUCGCACACACAAACACACACAUGCAUGCAUACAUACACACGCUCAUAACCGUAUGCACACACACUCUCUCUCUCUCAUACUCAGUCACUCACACACACACACCCCCCUCUCUCACACACACACACGCUCACAUCCACACACAUUCACACAAAUGCACGCACACACACACACAAACUCAUGCACUCACGCACACACACAUACAUGCGUGCAGAGACACAAACACGUGUCAACACACACACUCCUCAGUGUCCCUCUGCUAACUGGAGUAGAGACACACACACAUGCGCGCACACACAAACAUGCACACACACACACACGUGCGCAUACACACUCGAACACAUGCACACACACACAUACACAUAUAUAUACACACACUCAUAUACACAUACACACACACACACUCAAUCACACACAUAUAUAAACACAAACACUCAUAUACACCUAGACCCUCACACACCCACACACACACACACACACAUAUAUAGAGAAACACUCACACACUUAUAUACACACACACUCAUAUACACAUACACACACACACACUCACACAUAUAUAUACAUACACUCAUAUACACCUAGACCCACAUAAUCGCACUCACACACCUACACACACUCUCGCACACCCAGUUACACACACACACACCGUCUCUCUCUCACAUACACUCCAUCACACACACCCUUUCUCUCUCAGUCAUGUACAAGCACUCACAAAUACACACACUCAUGUUUACUCAUGCACACGCACUCACAUACCUACGCACACACACUCUCUCACACCCAGUCACUCACACACACCUACACACGGACACACACAAUCUCACGCGCACACACACACACACGCAUGCAAACAUACACACGCUCAUACCCGUAUGCAUACACACACACUCUUUCUCUCACUCACACUCUCACAUACAGUAUACAGACACACACAUGCGCAAAGGCACGCGCACACACACACACUCAUGCACUCACGCACGAACACAAACAUGUCAACACACACACAUUCUCAUUCCCAUACGUACGCACACACACACACACAUUCUCUUACCCACACGCACACACACACAUACUCAUGCACACACACAUGCAUACACAUAUAUGUGUGUACACACCAUAUACACAUGUAUACACAAACAUUCUCAUACACAUACAUACACACACACACGUAUAAACACACACAAAUUCACAAUGGCACUCUCACACACACACACAUACACAUACAUACACUCAUUCUCUUGCACGCACACACACUCAAAUACACAGUCACACACACAUUCACACAAACGCACGCACACACACUUUCUCUUACCCAUACACACACGCACCGGUGUGCACACAUACUCAUGCAGUCAAUCAUACUCACACAUGCACACACACAUACAUGCGUGCACACACAUUCUCUUACCCAUUCACACACGCAACCCGGGCACACACACACACACACUCAUACUCACGCACUCACACACAUGUUCACAUCAACAGUCACUCCCGCAAACGUACGCAUGCAUGCACACACAUUCACAAAUACACCCACACAAACACACUCUCACCCAAUCACACACACGUCGACACACUUGCAACCUUCCUUGACCAAUGCCUUACUGCAAUUUCAGCUGUGCCCAAUAUUAGCCUCAGUACAGCUUCAACCCUGUACAUGAGAGUAUGAUCUUUUAGCAGGUAUAGGUGAAGCACUCGCAAUUUAAAUAUGAUUUUAUUUUUUUACAUUUUAAUAAAUGUAUAUUUCAAAUGUUCAAGGUGUGUUCAUGUAUUUUUGAUUAUUAAAACAUUAAUAUAACAUUGAGAGUAAUAAUGCCAAAAGAUGGCAGAGUAAAAUGUUUUUAAUUCUGUCUCCUGUAUCUGCAUCUUUUUUAGAAGAAGCCAGUGGCAAACUCCUCCACUUAAAUGUGCAUUUUACUAGUUUUUACUGUUGCUUUCAUUCAUUUUCACAAGAGUUCCAAUGUGCAGAUUUCUGUGGGCAAAUGCAGCUGAUAGGGAGAAUGCAGAAUGAUCACUGCAGUGUACUUAUUUCCUUCCAUUACUGUAAACAAUGAUGGAUUGAGUUUCCUUAUUUAUUCUGUUAGGAUUGAUUUAUUUAUUUUAUUUUUUGUUGCUUUAAUUUUUUG
This is a long non-coding RNA of Anguilla rostrata (American eel), 3567 nucleotides long. RefSeq lists it as uncharacterized. The transcript has 3 exons. The record is from RefSeq and is a predicted model, not a curated record. Lineage: Eukaryota; Metazoa; Chordata; Actinopteri; Anguilliformes; Anguillidae.